Molecule: transfer RNA, 77 nt
Filed under: Coriobacteriales bacterium
Lineage: Bacteria; Bacillati; Actinomycetota; Coriobacteriia; Coriobacteriales
Description: tRNA-Arg
Rfam family: tRNA
About the family: Transfer RNA (tRNA) molecules are approximately 80 nucleotides in length. Their secondary structure includes four short double-helical elements and three loops (D, anti-codon, and T loops).
Source: RNAcentral
GCGCCGUUACCUCAGCUGGAUAGAGGGCCUGACUACGAAUCAGGACGCCAGGGGUUCGAAUCCCUUACGGCGCACCA